This 253-nucleotide ribosomal RNA is filed under the name uncultured bacterium. RNAcentral describes it as "partial 16S ribosomal RNA". It matches the Rfam family "Bacterial small subunit ribosomal RNA", at positions 524 to 776 of the family's 1533-position model. The record is from RNAcentral.
UACAGAGGUCCCAAGCGUUGUUCGGAUUCAUUGGGCGUAAAGGGUGCGUAGGCGGCGCGGGAUGUCGGGUGUGAAAUCUCGGAGCUUAACUCCGAAACUGCAUUCGAUACUGCCGUGCUUGAGGACUGGAGAGGAGACUGGAAUUUACGGUGUAGCGGUGAAAUGCGUAGAUAUCGUAAGGAAGACCAGUGGCGAAGGCGGGUCUCUGGACAGUUCCUGACGCUGAGGCACGAAGGCCAGGGGAGCAAACGGG